AGUGAACGCUGGCGGCAUGCCUUACACAUGCAAGUCGAACGGGAACGGGCCUUCGGGUGCCGCCGAGUGGCGUACGGGGGAGUAAUACAUCGGAACGUGCCCGAUCGUGGGGGAUAACGAGGCGAAAGCUUUGCUAAUACCGCAUACGAUCUACGGAUGAGAACAGGGGACUGCAAGGGCUCUGGCGGUCGGAUCGGCCGAUGGGAGGGUAGGGAGUUGGUGGGAUAAAAGGUUACCAAGACGACGAUCUGUAGCUGGGACGGGAGGAUGAGACGCCACACUGGCACGGAAACAGGGCCCAGACUCCUACGGGAGGCAGCAGUGGGGAAUUUUGGACAAUGGGCGCAAGCCUGAUCCAGCCAUGCCGCGUGCAGGAUGAAGGCCUUCGGGUUGUAAACUGCUUUUGUACGGAACGAAAAGCCUUCUUUUAAUACAGGAGGGUCAUGACGGUACCGUAAGAAUAAGCACCGGCUAACUACGUG
RNAcentral lists this ribosomal RNA (482 nucleotides) under uncultured bacterium. Its description in RNAcentral is "partial 16S ribosomal RNA". It matches the Rfam family "Bacterial small subunit ribosomal RNA", at positions 30 to 507 of the family's 1533-position model. The record is from RNAcentral.